AGUAACACGUGGGUAAUCUGCCCUGCACUCUGGGAUAAGCCUGGGAAACUAGGUCUAAUACCGGAUAUGACAUGUCACCGCAUGGUGGUGUGUGGAAAGUUCUGGCGGUGCAGGAUGAACCCGCGGCCUAUCAGCUUGUUGGUGGGGUAGUGGCCUACCAAGGCGACGACGGGUAGCCGGCCUGAGAGGGCGACCGGCCACACUGGGACUGAGACACGGCCCAG
RNAcentral lists this ribosomal RNA (224 nucleotides) under uncultured bacterium. Its description in RNAcentral is "partial 16S ribosomal RNA". It matches the Rfam family "Bacterial small subunit ribosomal RNA", at positions 109 to 334 of the family's 1533-position model. The record is from RNAcentral.